AAGUAAUUAGCUCAAUGGGUAGAGCGUUUUGUUUACACCGAAAUG
Molecule: transfer RNA, 45 nt
Filed under: Pyropia tenera (asakusa nori)
Lineage: Eukaryota; Rhodophyta; Bangiophyceae; Bangiales; Bangiaceae
Description: partial tRNA-Val
Source: RNAcentral